This 96-nucleotide microRNA precursor is filed under the name Guillardia theta CCMP2712. Its description in RNAcentral is "microRNA mir-598". The record is from RNAcentral. Lineage: Eukaryota; Cryptophyceae; Pyrenomonadales; Geminigeraceae.
UGAUGACGAUGACGAUGAUGAUGAUGAUGAUAGUGGUGGUGGUGGUGGUGAUGGUGAUGAUCAUGAUCACGAUCAUGAUCAUGAUCAUGAUUUGGC